CUGUCAACCAGCAUGAGAGCUCUGAGGACAUCUCUAAGCAGAAGUCAGUAUAGAAGUGUACACAUCUAAGUAAUUUUAAAUGCAGUUAAAUUCUAUUACAAAAACUAGGUGGUGUCCCCUAUCAUAUUUUCUUAUUUUAACCACUUGAAGUUGUGGGAUUUUAAGAUGACUUAGAGCCAGGGAAGACUAUUUUCUUUUGUUAUUAUUGGUAUCUCUUCAGUCUGUUGGCAACUAAGGAAAGCGGACAAGAGUCACUUUGGAGUGGUCCAGCCUCUGCUGGGGCAUCCUGCAGGGUGCAACAGAGCAGAAGCUAUAUUGGAGCAAUGUCAGCCAAGAAAAAGUUUGCUGAUCUCUGCUCUAGAAUAUCAAGGUGUGAGAAUAAGUUUGGGUAACUGGGAAGAUAAUCAAUUGAAGCCUCAUGAAGAUUGUGUUGAGAAUCAAGAACACCUGUGGCAGUACAACUUAGAUGACAGUAGACCAUAGAUGUCAGCAUGACUUAGUUGUUUUUUUACUGAAAAACUUUGCCCAGAAAAGCCAAAGCUAUAAGCCAAUAAAUAACUUUAUGGUUUACUUCAGAAAAUUCCCUUAGAACAAUUUAUCAAAGACAAUGGCCUGCUCACCUGGACAAACAGUUUACUCAUCAGUGAUGGUUUACUUAGCAAGACUCGCUUCAAGACUGGACUUCUCUGUGAUAGGCAAUCCUGAAAGAUUAUAACACAAUCUCUGUUAAAUUCCAUUCCAUUCACCACUUUGAAAGGCCUACUUAAACUACUCGAGUUCAGACCCCAAAGUCUUAAUACCAUUUUAGUUUGACUUCUCUUUAUUGAGACACUCUUAAAACUCCAUCAAGGUAGUUUACUCCCUUACUGCAGCAAGUUUUAACAAAUUUAUCUCUGCUUUGCUAACAGGAUGCCUGGUGAUAUUUGGGGGAAAAUCAACACUAUUUUGUUUAAUUCUGUGUUUAUAGAAAAAUAACAGGAGUUCUGUAAGAAUUUAUUGAAUGAAUGAAUGAAGGAAUGGAUGUAGGCCUCCAUCCUCC
This 1039-nucleotide long non-coding RNA is filed under the name Mustela putorius furo (domestic ferret). Its description in RNAcentral is "lncRNA (ENSMPUG00000030115.1)". The record is from RNAcentral. Lineage: Eukaryota; Metazoa; Chordata; Mammalia; Carnivora; Mustelidae.